Molecule: long non-coding RNA, 3518 nt
Organism: Varroa destructor (honeybee mite)
Lineage: Eukaryota; Metazoa; Arthropoda; Arachnida; Mesostigmata; Varroidae
Source: RefSeq, a predicted model, not a curated record
UCUGGCAAGGAGGCCCACUUUGAACAUCUACAGCCGUCGGCCUUGUCUUAGCAGCUAGUCAGAGUCCAAAGACAUUGACGACCGCUAUAGCAAGUGUCUACCACAAACACGUUUAAAUUGUGAGGACAAUAUACGUUCCCAAGCAGGACCACUUUCAUGCUACAAUGAUUGAGGGCGACGGACACGGUCGGAAUAAAAUGGAGCAGUUUCGAGCUACUCGAACAUGGAAUAUGAUUGUGUCAGCGGUGUGCAGUGAAAUGCCAACUGGACGACGUCGCAAGGGGUUUCGUAUCUACGAAAACUGUUUCGCAGGUAACGAAGCUGUAUCCUGGACUAUAAACUACCUUGAACAGCAUCGAGAUGUCUUGAUCUGCUCAGCUGACAAUCAGUCUAUUUGUAAGGUGGCCAUUACGCGAGAGAAAGUAACACUUCUACUACAGAAGUUAGUAGAACAAAGACUCAUCAGUAAUGUAUGCGGACAACAAGAGGCACCAUUUCGGGAUUCGUACCGGUGUCUCUAUUCAUUCAAUAACGAGAAUACUGCCCCCGUUCUCAUGUUCAAAACAACUACGUCUGCCUUUAAAAGCAACAGACGUAUUCGCAAAAAUCGCAACGGAAGCCUACACAAAGUUGCCCCUGUCCCAUUCGGCUAUGCAACUAACUUGGUCAAAACAGCUUUGGAAAGGAUAUCGGUCCAGAGGUUAAGCACCAAAAAUAUUUGACAGAAAUAGGACUCUUAAAGGAGCAUACAUACAAGACACGUCUGCGCUGUAUUCUGUAGGGAACUGAUGAGUAGUGGCUGCCAAAAAAGUUGGGCAGUUACGUGCCGGACGUUGACAGAUCUCUUUCAGCGCAUAGGCACUCGUCGUGCCAUCGAACAUCGUGUUUCAAGGACAGUGUCUCUGCAAUACGUUAUACACGAAGCUAAGGCUAUUACACUUACAUUGGGGCAGGCCCGUCGAAAGGACCUCGCGAUAUAUUCCAAUGCUGUCGAUAAUAGGUGCAUGCAUUGUGUAAAUCAGCAUUGUGAUCAUCUUCAAGCGCGGAUAAAAAUAGAGAGCAGAAAUGUAUUGGACCAAUUGGCAGCAUAGUCAAUAAUACAUUUCACAGUUUUUGAUGCAUAUAUAUGACGAGAAGGCGUGGUGUAGAGCUGAGCGUCAAAAGAUAGUCUGACGUCGCCCCCCUGACGAGAAGAGAAGCGAGGCCAACGAUUUUGAUUUGUACUCGCAAUGAUGUUAACGCAGAUCCAGAUCGUCAUUGUGGACUUCGAUCAAUUGCGUGACGCGACCCGUGAACGCAAUUACAAUGGUUAUACGAAGCCCGCAACUACUCGUGCCGAUUCGAUCGAACCUUGUGUACAAUGCAAUUUUACCCUUGACUGUAUAAAACUAGCGUAUUGUCUCUAUAGACGUCGCUUAAUGGUUUUCCGUAUCGAAGAACUAUCUCAUACCAAUGUAUAAAUAGUACAGGUAUCAACGCAUGUAUAUAAAACUGUACACAAAUACACCUAUUUACGAAAGCGAUAAGUUGGAAGAUAAUCAGUAUUCAACAGGAUAAAGACCGUGCCCCUUCUCUACAUUAGAGAGAGACUAGGCAAUCAGUGCGGUAAUGGACUUAACAACGACUAACUGUCAUUCCUACAAUGCAUAAUGCUUUGUAAUUUACUAAGCAGAAACCCUCGAACGGUAUGAGCCCGGCAAAAUAUACCGAAAUCGCUUGGCGUUUAUGCCACCAGCAUACGCUUUCUUUAUACGGUGAAUAUUCAAAGAACAUAAGAAAAUGUGAUCAUAGCUAACUACUCGUAACGAUUUCGUCGCAUUUCGUUUUUCAAUCGUAGCCAUAGUACGAACAAGGAUCUAGAUGGAAAGUUAAGUUAAUAACAAUAGCCCUCGCACAAAUAUCAUGGGAAUUUGGGUAGCAGUGAUUUGAUUCUCAAAAAUAAGAAAACUCAUUUAGCUGUGUCCUAGAGAUUCUGUCGACCUUACUUAGUUCAACCAUAUUUGUUGCCCGUUAAUAGAUACACGUAUCACCUGCCUAUGGUUAAAAAAGCUCCCCGGUAGAUCUAUUUCUUAAUAUGCGUACCGUCAAGUUACCUAGUUAACAAUCGCCGGUUAACAACUAGGCCCUUAAAAAGGGGUCCCUUGAUACGCUGUUCCGCAAUGUACUCAAACCCGUGCCGUGAUCGGACUAUAAGAAAGUCAUGCACCGCUGAAACGUCGAUUAAGCCGCUCACGAGCCGGCAGCAAAUAUCAAAGACUUGUUUACAGACGCUAUGCAUUUAGUUCUAAUUGUAACUAAAAUUAUUUAUCGUAGGUUGCUGUAGUAUAAAUGAAAAAACUGUUAAAUCCCGGAAUAUACAUAUACGAAAGCCGGAAAUGACAAAUACAAUGGUAGCAAGUUUCCACGACGCGAUAAAAUGGGCCUAUAUAGGGUGUUUGUUUCCUCUAUAUCACAACGAUAUACAGAUGUCCUGCUAAUCGAGAUACCUAAAUAUGAGGAGAUGCCAAGAAGGUACCCCCCCCCUGAAACCGUGACGAAAGCGUGCACAUUUGAAAACACUCAUGUCUAAUAGGUUUAUAGGUAACUUCGACAAGAGUUCGCUUUGCACAACGUCGCGCGUGUCCUCUUCGUAGUGCAAUUGAAAGCCCUAUAGCUUGUCCACAGUGACUUUAAUAAUAGCUACAAUCUUUAGGUAUGACCGGUGUGUUUAUCCAACCUACAUGAUUUCGCUACUGUCUAUUGUACGCCAUUAUGGCAAUACCGAUGCUUUUAUUAUCAAAACGACUGACAGAACUUACAAUUGCUUAAAUCCAGAACGCCUCACAUGUUCAGCCUACGCUGUCUCUAUUCGUAAAUCGACGAGAUCCGGUAUUUCUAGCGGCAGUUUGAAGACAGUAACAGAUGCGCCAAUCCAGAGUAUCUAUCGAAUAAUAAACGCUUUGAUGAUUUUUGUGGUGACUAUGUCUGAAUCGAUUUUCGAAAUUAAGCUUCGCCCUAUUGCCCCUAUGAUUUGCUUACAUAUUAAUAACAAUAGGACACCGCAAACAUCGUGCGAGUGUUUCGACAAUUGGAACAAAUAAAAGGAUACUGUAGGACAAUCAUUUCGAUGGCGAUACGAAUAAUACCGGAAAUUUGUUCUGUAUAUAAUAGUACGGCGGUCGCAGUUUGAGAUCAGGAGCGUCUGUUAUUGCAAUGAUUGGAUGUACUUAUGGCCGAACAUCUCUAAACGUAUAUGUUUAUGCGCGCAAUACAGGGCGUUUAAAAAGUGACCCAACCCAAAACGAGUUAGCUAGAAUGUCCUUUCACCUUUGUCCUUAUUACGGUUUCUUGCAAAUCGAUCGGCAUCGACCACGUGUCCCAGUAUAAUAUUUUUGAAAAUAUUCAAUUUUAGAUUAACUGCCCAAAAAGAGUCUCAUAGUUCCUAUACAAUAGUAUCAUUAUUGGCUGAUUUUUCAUAAGUCUGCGACAUUUUUCGCUAGUCUGAAUGUUGCACGCCGAGCGGUCCCUGUGUAGAGAAA